GACGAACGCUGGCGGCGUGCUUAACACAUGCAAGUCGAACGGAAAGGCCCUGCUUGCAGGGUACUCGAGUGGCGAACGGGUGAGUAACACGUGGGUGAUCUGCCCUGCACUUCGGGAUAAGCUUGGGAAACUGGGUCUAAUACCGGAUAGGAACCAUCUUUAGUGUGGUGGUUGGAAAGUUUUUUCGGUGUAGGAUGAGCUCGCGGCCUAUCAGCUUGUUGGUGGGGUAAUGGCCUACCAAGGCGGCGACGGGUAGCCGGCCUGAGAGGGUGUACGGCCACAUUGGGACUGAGAUACGGCCCAGACUCCUACGGGAGGCAGCAGUGGGGAAUAUUGCACAAUGGGCGCAAGCCUGAUGCAGCGACGCCGCGUGGGGGAUGAAGGCCUUCGGGUUGUAAACUCCUGUCGCUAGGGACGAAGCUUUGUUGUGACGGUACCUAGAUAAGAAGCACCGGCUAACUACGUG
This 466-nucleotide ribosomal RNA is filed under the name uncultured bacterium. RNAcentral's name for it is "partial 16S ribosomal RNA". It matches the Rfam family "Bacterial small subunit ribosomal RNA", at positions 28 to 507 of the family's 1533-position model. The record is from RNAcentral.